Molecule: ribosomal RNA, 460 nt
Filed under: uncultured bacterium
Lineage: Bacteria
Description: partial 16S ribosomal RNA
Rfam family: Bacterial small subunit ribosomal RNA
Source: RNAcentral
CCUACGGGGCGCAGCAGUGAGGAAUAUUGGUCAAUGGACGAGAGUCUGAACCAGCCAAGUAGCGUGAAGGAUGACUGCCCUAUGGGUUGUAAACUUCUUUUAUAUGGGAAUAAAAUGUUCCACGUGUGGGAUUUUGUAUGUACCAUAUGAAUAAGGAUCGGCUAACUCCGUGCCAGCAGCCGCGGUAAUACGGAGGAUCCGAGCGUUAUCCGGAUUGAUUGGGUUUAAAGGGAGCGUAGGUGGAUUGUUAAGUCAGUUGUGAAAGUUUGCGGCUCAACCGUAAAAUUGCAGUUGAAACUGGCAGUCUUGUGUACAGUAGAGGUGGGCGGAAUUCGUGGUGUAGCGGUGAAAUGCUUAGAUAUCACGAAGAACUCCGAUUGCGAAGGCAGCUCACUGGACUGCAACUGACACUGAGGCUCGAAAGUGUGGGUAUCAAACAGGAUUAGAUACCCCUGUAGUC